AGUGAACGCUGGCGGUAGGCCUAACACAUGCAAGUCGAACGGCAGCACAGUAAGAGCUUGCUCUUACGGGUGGCGAGUGGCGGACGGGUGAGGAAUACAUCGGAAUCUACUUUUUCGUGGGGGAUAACGUAGGGAAACUUACGCUAAUACCGCAUACGACCUACGGGUGAAAGCAGGGGAUCUUCGGACCUUGCGCGAUUGAAUGAGCCGAUGUCGGAUUAGCUAGUUGGCGGGGUAAAGGCCCACCAAGGCGACGAUCCGUAGCUGGUCUGAGAGGAUGAGCGGCCACACUGGAACUGAGACACGGUCCAGACUCCUACGGGAGGCAGCAGUGGGGAAUAUUGGACAAUGGGCGCAAGCCUGACCGAGCAAUACCGCGUGGGUGAAGAAGGUCUUCGGGUCGUAAAACCCUCUUGUUGGGAAAGAAAAGAAGCAGGUGUAUACCCCGAUGUUCUGACGGUACCUAAAGAGUAAGCAACGGCUAACUUCGUG
This 492-nucleotide ribosomal RNA is filed under the name uncultured bacterium. RNAcentral's name for it is "partial 16S ribosomal RNA". It matches the Rfam family "Bacterial small subunit ribosomal RNA", at positions 29 to 507 of the family's 1533-position model. The record is from RNAcentral.